RNAcentral lists this ribosomal RNA (420 nucleotides) under uncultured bacterium. RNAcentral describes it as "bacterial SSU rRNA". It matches the Rfam family "Bacterial small subunit ribosomal RNA", at positions 356 to 773 of the family's 1533-position model. The record is from RNAcentral.
GAGGAAUAUUGGGCAAUGGGCGCAAGCCUGACCCAGCCAUGCCGCGUGAAGGAUGAAUGCCCUAUGGGUUGUAAACUUCUUUUUUACGGGAAGAAACUCCUGAACGUGUUCGGGAUUGACGGUACCGUAUGAAUAAGCAUCGGCUAACUCCGUGCCAGCAGCCGCGGUAAUACGGAGGAUGCAAGCGUUAUCCGGAUUUAUUGGGUUUAAAGGGUGCGUAGGCGGGAUAAUAAGUCAGUGGUGAAAGCCUGUAGCUUAACUAUAGAAAUGCCAUUGAUACUGUUGUUCUUGAGUACAGUUGAGGUAGGCGGAAUGUGUAAUGUAGCGGUGAAAUGCUUAGAUAUUACACAGAACACCGAUUGCGAAGGCAGCUUACUAAGCUGGUACUGACGCUGAGGCACGAAAGCGUGGGGAGCAAAC